RNAcentral lists this ribosomal RNA (457 nucleotides) under uncultured Parcubacteria group bacterium. RNAcentral describes it as "bacterial SSU rRNA". It matches the Rfam family "Bacterial small subunit ribosomal RNA", at positions 338 to 796 of the family's 1533-position model. The record is from RNAcentral.
CCUACGGGUGGCAGCAGCCGAGAAUCUUCCGCAAUGGGCGAAAGCCUGACGGAGCGACGUCGCGUGAUGGAUGAAGUUCUUCGGAACGUAAACAUCUUUUAUUGGGGACGAACCCCGCCUUUGGCGGGACUGACGGUACCCGAUGAAUAAGGGGUUGCUAAACUCGUGCCAGCAGCAGCGGUAAGACGAGUGCCCCAAGCGUUAUCCGGAAUUACUGGGCGUAAAGUGUGUUUCGGCGGUCCGCCGCAUCUUUAGUUAAAGCCCAAGGCUUAACCUUGGAAUUGCUAAAGAGAUGGGCGGGCUGGAGGCAGCGAGAGGUCUACGGAACUCAUGGUGUAGGGGUGAAAUCCGUUGAUAUCAUGGGGAACACCGAAGGCGAAAGCAGUAGACUAGCGCUUGCCUGACGCUUAUACACGAAAGCGUGGGGAUCAAACGGGAUUAGAUACCCCAGUAGUCC